AAAUUAUUUCAAAUGUUUUGGGUGUCUGUGAAACCAACAGCUCUUAACACUAUGACCAAAAAUUUAAGUUCUCCUCUAUAUGUCACACUCAUUCGACAGUAUUGUCUUCCUGAGGAGGUGUAAGA
This 125-nucleotide small nucleolar RNA is filed under the name Castor canadensis (American beaver). RNAcentral's name for it is "Small nucleolar RNA SNORA25 (ENSCCNG00000022229.1)". The record is from RNAcentral. Lineage: Eukaryota; Metazoa; Chordata; Mammalia; Rodentia; Castoridae.